AUGUUAGUUACUGGGAAUUAUAUUAUGCUUGAUGCUGUACUACAAAUUUAUAAUACUGUCCAUAGAAAGUGCGAUAUUGGCGUUUUAACGAGCGUUUCGCUAUCAUUCUCUAGUUUACAAAUCGCACCUCACCAUGGUUCAUAAAUCCAGCAGCUACAGCAAACAGCUGUUUGCAGACGCACUUUAGAGUUUGAAUUUUAGAAUCUCUUUUAAGUAAAGCUAAGAGACUUAUAAUCUCUUAGAUUUCCUUUGGUUUUAUAUUAACUUCAAUGAGCAUAAUGAAUUAUUAUGCGAUCACAGUGCCAUCGACAUGUUUCAACAUUUUUUAAGCACAUGCUGUUAAUACUAUUUAAUCCACUAAACUUACUAAUGAGAGUAUCCUUUUAAUCUACUGAUAAACAAAAGGAGUUUUCGUGCUGUAAAAUGGUAAUUUUACAGUACCACCCUCUCCCUGUAAUCGAAAAUGCAUACCAGAUAUGAUGAUGCACUCAUUUUAACUCUCUUUAAACUAUUAAAGUAUAUUCCAUCAUUUCCGUACCCUCGUUUCAGAAUGUUCAUAUGCGACUUGUAUAAACAACUCAUAUAAUCUGAAUGCAAAACUUCCCUCAUUGUUAGAGAUGAUCAUGUGUAGAUCAUCAAGUAAAAAAGAUGGACGAUGUGCGCUUCAAUGAGUUAACACUCGCAUCAAGCUUUUGGUAAAGCCUUUGACUCCUAUUUUUUUUGCUCAGCCUUGUUAUAUUUUGUUUAAACCAGUAAGAAACUGAUUAAUAAAAGUUUCCCCACACUUUUGAAUGUUUUGUCGAAUAAGCACUGUUUUUCUGUUUGUUUACAGAGUCGAUUGUUUCGGUUUGAGUGAUAUUUAAAGCAGCAUUUUUUUUGUAUAUAUAGAGCCUUUAGUACGAACUUUCUUUUCUUUACCGAUUGAUUUUUGUCAAAUAUCAUUACUGUUGCAUUCUUAUCUUCUUGUGUCAAUAUUUUUUUUUCGGCACCUUGUGCUUCUUCUGAUCGCAAUUUUGUUUAGUAUCGAUAUCGCGAUUUUUUUGACUCUUCUUUCUUUAACUCUGGAACGCUCUUAUUAGGGUGUUGUAUUUAUUUAUUUUUUUAAUUCUGACCUAUUCU
Schizosaccharomyces pombe (fission yeast) is the source of this 1119-nucleotide non-coding RNA. The record is from the annotation of a GenBank genome assembly. Lineage: Eukaryota; Fungi; Ascomycota; Schizosaccharomycetes; Schizosaccharomycetales; Schizosaccharomycetaceae.